Non-coding RNA from Triticum aestivum (bread wheat), 135 nucleotides. Lineage: Eukaryota; Viridiplantae; Streptophyta; Magnoliopsida; Poales; Poaceae. The record is from Rfam.
UUUGUACUCCCCCCAUCCCAAAAUUCUUGUCUUAAAUUUGUCUAAAUACGGAUGUAUCUAGUUACAUUUUAGUGUUAGAUACAUCCGUAUCUAAACAAAUGUAAGACAGGAAUUUUGGGACGGAGGGAAUACUAC